RNAcentral lists this unclassified non-coding RNA (235 nucleotides) under plant metagenome. Its description in RNAcentral is "partial contains small subunit ribosomal RNA and internal transcribed spacer 1". The stretch from base 1 to 46 matches the Rfam family "Eukaryotic small subunit ribosomal RNA", at positions 1786 to 1831 of the family's 1831-position model. The record is from RNAcentral.
AAGUCGUAACAAGGUCUCCGUUGGUGAACCAGCGGAGGGAUCAUUGCUGGAACAAACGCCCUCACGGGUGCUGCCCAGAAACCCUUUGUGAACUUAUCAUACGUUGCCUCGGCAGUGGUUGGCUUCGAAUGAAGUCCCUUGUGCUUUCGAGUAUAAGGAGCAGACCGGCCGAUGGCCCCUAUAAACUCUUGUUUUUGUAAUAUCAUCUGAGUAAAACAACUAAAAUGAAUCAAAA